UUACUUUUUUUUUUACUUAUCCCUUUAAUGCUGUGUGUAUCAUAUAUGAGACAUACAGUUUCUGAGACCUAUUUCAUCACUUUAUUGUAAAAACCAAACUCAAAACACUGU
Long non-coding RNA from Melanotaenia boesemani (Boeseman's rainbowfish), 111 nucleotides. RefSeq lists it as uncharacterized. Lineage: Eukaryota; Metazoa; Chordata; Actinopteri; Atheriniformes; Melanotaeniidae. The record is from RefSeq and is a predicted model, not a curated record. The transcript is spliced from 3 exons.